AUGAAUCGCCGUUUUGUGAAUCUGCUGGUCAGUAAAUCGGGCGACUGCCGCCCGGCCUUCAACCUGCAUCGCAUCAAUCCGGCGAGCUUAUUCUGCCCUACUAGAUCUCUAAAACCAGCAGAUCCAGCAGCAACAAAGAAGAAGACUCUGUCUCGGCUGCCUCCUGCGGCCAUAUCCUUCGAAUUGCCCUGCCCGUGGAAGAAGUUCGGGUGGAUGGAUUUCAUGGCCCGCAAGAACGACAUCAUUGCUGUCGACCAUGAGGGCCACACCCUCCUCUACAACGGCACGGUUGGCGCCCUCUGCGCCAUGAACAGGAUGGUAGACCCCUGUCACAGCUCAAUCUCCGUCGUUGUUGGGGACGAGCUGUAUGCCAUGGCCAUCAACCGUGGCCUGCUGCCCAAGGUGGACUAUUUUAAGGCUCUUACCUAUGGCCGCUCGUUCGGCCACUGCCAGCCAGAGGACUGGCACUGGCGCCCUCUCCAGCCGCCUCCCCUUGAAUACGACCACGAGAAGGAUCAACGCUACAACCCCACUGCGGCGCCUGUGACACACCCCUGUGCUAUUGGCGCAUACACGGUUGUUCGUGAUUCACAGAUCUGGAUAUCUACAACGGGCGCUGGCACGUACUCCUUUGACACAACUAGCGGCGUGUGGAGAAAGAUUGGCGAGUGGGCUCUGCCGUUCAAAGGUCACGCCAAGUAUGUUCCUGAGCACGGUCUCUGGUUUGGCUUCUCAGACAGUGAUGGUCAGCUCUGUGCUUCUGACCUCGAGCAGAUGCCGCCGGUGCAGCAGAAUGCGUGUGAAGACCUAGUCCUUCCUGUGCUGGAAGGUUGGAAUCCAACGGGGUCGCACCUCUUGGCGUUGGGAUCUGGUAAGUUAUGCAUCGUGAGCUUCUUCCAGAGAAUUAAGCGGGUGAGGCCGCGUCCGUCGACGUGCUAUUGGAGCUUCAAAAUUGAGAACGCUGCUGUUCUUGCUGGUGUGGAAGUUGUUGCCGCAGGUCCAGGAAUCCUCCGUAUGGUCAAGCACAAGUCCAAAUGUUAUCACUUCGGAGAUGAUAACGUGAAGCUGCUGUGA
RNAcentral lists this ribosomal RNA (1074 nucleotides) under Triticum aestivum (bread wheat). RNAcentral's name for it is "partial small subunit ribosomal RNA". The record is from RNAcentral. Lineage: Eukaryota; Viridiplantae; Streptophyta; Magnoliopsida; Poales; Poaceae.